RNAcentral lists this transfer RNA (100 nucleotides) under Candidatus Nitrohelix vancouverensis. RNAcentral's name for it is "tRNA-OTHER". Lineage: Bacteria; Pseudomonadati; Nitrospinota; Nitrospinia; Nitrospinales; Nitrospinaceae. The record is from RNAcentral.
GCGGAGCGGCUCAAUUGGAUAGAGUUUCCCAUCUUACGACAUACUUUGGAGGCGCCAGGGUAUGAGGGGGAAGGUUGCGGGUUCGAGUCCCGCCACCGCU